GACGUAGGGGGCGAGCGUUGUCCGGAUUUAUUGGGCGUAAAGCGCGCGUAGGCGGCCGCGCAAGUCGGAUGUGAAAACCCGGGGCUCAACCCCGGGCGUGCAUUCGAUACUGCGCGGCUCGAGACAGGUAGGGGAGAUCGGAAUUCCUGGUGUAGCGGUGAAAUGCGCAGAUAUCAGGAGGAACACCGGUGGCGAAGACGGAUCUCUGGGCCUGUUCUGACGCUGAGGCGCGAAAGCUAGGGGAGCGAACAGG
Molecule: ribosomal RNA, 253 nt
Filed under: uncultured bacterium
Lineage: Bacteria
Description: partial 16S ribosomal RNA
Rfam family: Bacterial small subunit ribosomal RNA
Source: RNAcentral